This 262-nucleotide unclassified non-coding RNA is filed under the name uncultured fungus. Its description in RNAcentral is "sequence contains ITS1, 5.8S rRNA gene". The stretch from base 214 to 262 matches the Rfam family "5.8S ribosomal RNA", at positions 1 to 49 of the family's 154-position model. The record is from RNAcentral. Lineage: Eukaryota; Fungi.
UUUCCGUAGGUGAACCUGCGGAAGGAUCAUUAUCCAUCUUCAACCAGGUGCGGUCGCGGCCUCCAGGCAACUGGGUGGUUUCGCGCCGCAUUCCUGCAUCCUUUUUUUACGAGCACCUUUCGUUCUCCUUCGGCGGGGCGACCCGCCGCUGGAACCUCAUCACGAACCUUUUUUGCAUCUAGCAUUACCUGUUCUGAUAAAUAUAAUCGUUACAACUUUCAACAAUGGAUCUCUUGGCUCUGGCAUCGAUGAAGAACGCAGC